Long non-coding RNA from Cyprinus carpio (common carp), 669 nucleotides. RefSeq lists it as uncharacterized. Lineage: Eukaryota; Metazoa; Chordata; Actinopteri; Cypriniformes; Cyprinidae. The transcript is spliced from 5 exons. The record is from RefSeq and is a predicted model, not a curated record.
CCUGAAACAACAGCUGUCUGCUGGACUCAGGAUUCAAAGAGAUCUGUGAGGGGACUGAAGAAAUCUAAGCUAAAGAUAUUAAAACUUUCAAACUGCAGUAUCACAGAAGAAGGUUAUAAAUCUCUGGCUUCAACUCUAAAAUCAAAUUCAAACUUGGUGGAGCUGGAUCUCACAGGAAAUGAUCCUGGUGAAUCAGGAGUGAAAGAAGCUCAGUGAUUCACAAAAGGGAUGGAGGGUUUUCAUCAAAAAACACUGAAAAACAAUGAGGUUUUUGGGUCUUGCUGCAGAAGAAGCCUGUCAGUUUGUGACUGGAAAUUGUGGGUGAAAACACGAUUACUCCUGAGAGAGCUGAAUCUGAGUGGACGUGAACUAGGAGACACACGAGUGAAUCAGAUCACUGCUCUACUGCAGGAUAAACACUGUAAACUCAAAGCUCUUCAUCUGCGUAAGUGUGGUCUAACAGAGGAAAGCUGUUUAGCUCUCGCUACAGUCCUGAGAUCAAAACCCCAGUCUGAAAGAGCUUGACAUAAGCAACAAUAAUCUGCAGGAUUCAGGAGUGAAGAAACUCCAGAAAGGAUUAGAAGAUAAAAACUGUGCACUGCAGAAACUCAGACUUUCAAACUGCAGUAUCACUGAAAAAGGUUACAAAGCUCUGGCUUCAGCUCUGAG